AUACCUUUCUCGGCCUUUUGGCUAAGAUCAAGUGUAGUAUCUGUUCUUAUCAGUUUAAUAUCUGAUAUGUGGGCCAUAUGCCCACAAUGAUAUUAAAUUUAUUUUUUGUGAGGGAGGGUCCACCACAGUGGCUUGCCAUUGGGGCCCUUGGGUGUCGCCUGGGCGUUGCACUAUAGCCCAGGCAGGCGCACCCCAA
This is a non-coding RNA of Triticum aestivum (bread wheat), 196 nucleotides long. Lineage: Eukaryota; Viridiplantae; Streptophyta; Magnoliopsida; Poales; Poaceae. The record is from Rfam.